GCGAUCCUGGAGGGAUGGAUCCGGGCCCGGACUGGAAUGGACUCCUCCGCCUGCCUGGGCCGAGGCGGAAGGGGGCGAGGGGGGAGGAGGAGGGAGAAAGCCAGCGCAAAAAAAAAAAAAAUCACCGGAGGAGCCAGGAAGAGAGGGACGCGGCGGCGGUCCCGCCAGUGGAAUCGAAGCCCGCCAGGAGCCAGAGACAGUGAGCCUUCAGACAACAGUGGUAACCUGAUCUACCAAACUAACUCAUCUGGAUUGAGGAAGUGA
Molecule: long non-coding RNA, 264 nt
Filed under: Naja naja (Indian cobra)
Lineage: Eukaryota; Metazoa; Chordata; Lepidosauria; Squamata; Elapidae
Description: lncRNA (ENSNNAG00000006327.1)
Source: RNAcentral